UCCCAGGUGCUUUAGUUGUAAAGGAUCUGCCUGCCAGCGCAGAAGACACAGGUUUGAUCCCUGGCUCGGGAA
This 72-nucleotide transfer RNA is filed under the name Bos taurus (domestic cattle). It matches the Rfam family "tRNA". From Rfam's summary of the family: Transfer RNA (tRNA) molecules are approximately 80 nucleotides in length. Their secondary structure includes four short double-helical elements and three loops (D, anti-codon, and T loops). The record is from Rfam by way of RNAcentral. RNAcentral also lists the same sequence under 3 other names. Lineage: Eukaryota; Metazoa; Chordata; Mammalia; Artiodactyla; Bovidae.